RNAcentral lists this long non-coding RNA (1894 nucleotides) under Bos grunniens (domestic yak). Its description in RNAcentral is "lncRNA (ENSBGRG00000009372.1)". The record is from RNAcentral. Lineage: Eukaryota; Metazoa; Chordata; Mammalia; Artiodactyla; Bovidae.
AUGAGGCAAGGAGUCUUUGCUUAUUUUCUGGUUUUUGUCGUUUUGUCUGGAGUAAACCCUUGCCACUGGAUGACAAGGGAAGGCGGGGGCUCUACUGUGGGAGGAGCUAUACCUACAAGAGGCAGAAGCAGGGUUAUUCCAAAGAUGCUUCUGUGGGCUUCCAUGACGAUGGAGGCCUUUCCAUCUCAGCUCCUUCAGACUGGGUCUCCGAGGGGCCCCCAUCUGCCACUCCCUCUCUCUCUGGGGCAAGGCUUGGGUGGGAUAGGAUCCUAUAGAAUAAGGUUUGGGUUGCCCCCUUUUCCUUUCCUCGGACACUUUCCACUGCUCUUGGCGGGUGCUCCUUCAUGGACGAUGGUAAUGGAAAACAGAUACUGCUCUCUGCCCCUCUGGCUUCUUCAGUUCAUUCCACUGAUUCUACAUAGGAUUGUCCUCUGUCCUUGAGGAUCCAGGUCACUGCCAGGGGCUGAAUAGAUGUCCCAGUUAUUUCCAUAUGUUAUGUCUGAGAGGCUUUGAAGGAUGCUCUUAGCUUCACAUCCUUUAGUAUCGGGAGAGUCUAUUGUGAUGAUGAUGGUGAUGGUACCCGACAUUUGGAUGACUCAGGAUAGGGCUAACCCUUCCUCCUAACCUUUACAAAAGUACGUUAUUUGCCUUCUAUCUUUGAUAUACUUGGUGGUAGAGAAAGGGAACGGAGAAGGCAAUGGCAGCCCACUCCAGUGUUCUUGCCUGGAGAAUCCCAGGGAUGGGGGAGCCUGGUGGGCUGCCGUCUGUGGGGUUGCACAGAGUCGGACGCGACAGAAGCAACUUAGCAGCAGUAGCAGCAGAAAAGGGGAAAUGCUUAAAGAUGAAGAUCCAAGUGAAGAGAAGUUAAUAAGCUGCUUGGACCGAUUGCUGAGUUGGGCACCCGGCUCUAGGACUGAAGGCAUUGGCUCUGUUCUCUGUUCUGCUUUUGCUGUCUGACCUUGGACUUGUCUCUUAGUCCCUCUCAGAUUUCCUUCCUGUAAGAGCAGCCGUCACCUGCUUCCCUCACAAGGGCAAAAAAGCGUGUAUCAGAGCAGGUCCGAGAAGCCCGUGGCUCCCGGCCAGCGAACAGGACAAACUGCUGAAGUUGGCGGUGCGGUCCCCACCACCUCUGCCUCUAGGGGACUUGCCUACUUCCUCUGGCUUCUGGAAGAGGCAAGAUUUGGAGUUGGCCUAAUGACUAAUGGGGACCGUGGUCAGGCACGUGCUCUUCUGCUGUAUUUAUAUGGCACCUGGUGUUUAGAAGCAUCACUCCUAAUUCCCCCACUUAAGUCGUUAGGCUGAUCAUCCUACCAUGAGUGUCUUAUGGAGCAGGAAGUGGGAGACAGGGAGCUGGAAGCAGCACCAAAAUGAUGAUUUAGGGCCUCUCGUUUCUUUGAGUCAUUUCCCAGAGUCUGAUGUGUUUUGAGGCUGGAGUCAGGCCAGUUCCUGAAACUAUCUUUAGGAAAGGGUCUGCUGGCCCAUAGGACACAUGUCAUGGUGGGGGCUUCAUCACAAGACUGCUUUUCCUUUAGACCACAGUUGCUCAGGACACAAGUCACCCCAAGAGCAUCUAGGCCUGAUACCGUGUCCUCAUUCUUGCUCACAGCGCCCCGUGGGAGACUCCUUCCCGCCCCCUCCCCUAGAAGGAAGGAACCCCAUCUUGAGCAUUCCUAACUCUUCAAAGUACAGAGCAGCAGGUAUUAAAGGACAGCUGUGAGUGGUACCUGCAGGGUUGGUAUGUCCAUGCGGGUGUGGCAGGCCCCUCUGUGAAUGCAGACCCUUGACCAUUUCCACGCAUGUCUCAUUUAGCCCACCUCUUUGACUCAGGUGUGUGAAGGCAGGUCAGAAACACUGUUGUCUCUAAAGAAUUUCGGGAGAGGGCAGGUGCUGCCGC